Molecule: small nuclear RNA, 103 nt
Organism: Cucurbita pepo subsp. pepo (vegetable marrow)
Lineage: Eukaryota; Viridiplantae; Streptophyta; Magnoliopsida; Cucurbitales; Cucurbitaceae
Source: RefSeq, a predicted model, not a curated record
UAAUCAAUCGGGAAAAUUCGAUAAACUUAGAACGAUACAGAGAAAUUAGCAUGACUCUUGCACAAGGAUGACACGCUCAAAUCGAGAAAUGAUCCAAAUUUAU